AAAUUGAAGAGUUUGAUCAUGGCUCAGAUUGAACGCUGGCGGCAGGCCUAACACAUGCAAGUCGAACGGUAACAGAAAGCAGCUUGCUGCUUUGCUGACGAGUGGCGGACGGGUGAGUAAUGUCUGGGAAACUGCCUGAUGGAGGGGGAUAACUACUGGAAACGGUGGCUAAUACCGCAUAACGUCGCAAGACCAAAGAGGGGGACCUUCGGGCCUCUUGCCAUCAGAUGUGCCCAGAUGGGAUUAGCUAGUUGGUGAGGUAACGGCUCACCAAGGCGACGAUCCCUAGCUGGUCUGAGAGGAUGACCAGCCACACUGGAACUGAGACACGGUCCAGACUCCUACGGGAGGCAGCAGUGGGGAAUAUUGCACAAUGGGCGCAAGCCUGAUGCAGCCAUGCCGCGUGUAUGAAGAAGGCCUUCGGGUUGUAAAGUACUUUCAGCGGGGAGGAAGGUGUUGUGGUUAAUAACCGCAGCAAUUGACGUUACCCGCAGAAGAAGCACCGGCUAACUCCGUGCCAGCAGCCGCGGUAAUACGGAGGGUGCAAGCGUUAAUCGGAAUUACUGGGCGUAAAGCGCACGCAGGCGGUCUGUCAAGUCGGAUGUGAAAUCCCCGGGCUCAACCUGGGAACUGCAUUCGAAACUGGCAGGCUUGAGUCUUGUAGAGGGGGGUAGAAUUCCAGGUGUAGCGGUGAAAUGCGUAGAGAUCUGGAGGAAUACCGGUGGCGAAGGCGGCCCCCUGGACAAAGACUGACGCUCAGGUGCGAAAGCGUGGGGAGCAAACAGGAUUAGAUACCCUGGUAGUCCACGCCGUAAACGAUGUCUACUUGGAGGCUGUGCCCUUGAGGCGUGGCUUCCGGAGCUAACGCGUUAAGUAGACCGCCUGGGGAGUACGGCCGCAAGGUUAAAACUCAAAUGAAUUGACGGGGGCCCGCACAAGCGGUGGAGCAUGUGGUUUAAUUCGAUGCAACGCGAAGAACCUUACCUGGUCUUGACAUCCACAGAAGUUUGCAGAGAUGCGAAUGUGCCUUCGGGAACUGUGAGACAGGUGCUGCAUGGCUGUCGUCAGCUCGUGUUGUGAAAUGUUGGGUUAAGUCCCGCAACGAGCGCAACCCUUAUCCUUUGUUGCCAGCGGUUAGG
Molecule: ribosomal RNA, 1139 nt
Filed under: Salmonella enterica
Lineage: Bacteria; Pseudomonadati; Pseudomonadota; Gammaproteobacteria; Enterobacterales; Enterobacteriaceae
Description: bacterial SSU rRNA
Rfam family: Bacterial small subunit ribosomal RNA
Source: RNAcentral